This 284-nucleotide long non-coding RNA is filed under the name Homo sapiens (human). Its description in RNAcentral is "HSALNT0348995". The record is from RNAcentral. Lineage: Eukaryota; Metazoa; Chordata; Mammalia; Primates; Hominidae.
AUCCUAGAAUGUUACACAGGUAUCUCACUUAGGCACAUGAGCCAAUGGCCAUGUUCCUGUUGAGACAGAAGAACACAGAAAAGCAAGAAUUAAGAGUAAAAUAAGGAGUUAUAGUUUGGAUCCUGAAAGUUAUCGCCUCCAGCACUAAAGGUCAGAGAGGUGAAGAAAAAGGGAGGCAGAAAAGAUCAUACUGAAUCCAAAAGGAAACAGGAACAGAGCUCCCAGAGCUGAUUCUACCCCCAAAGAGAUGGAGUUUCACCGUGUUGCCCAGGCUGGCCUCAAAC